Molecule: ribosomal RNA, 460 nt
Filed under: uncultured bacterium
Lineage: Bacteria
Description: partial 16S ribosomal RNA
Rfam family: Bacterial small subunit ribosomal RNA
Source: RNAcentral
CCUACGGGAGGCAGCAGUGAGGAAUAUUGGUCAAUGGACGAGAGUCUGAACCAGCCAAGUAGCGUGAAGGAUGACUGCCCUAUGGGUUGUAAACUUCUUUUAUAUGGGAAUAAAACAGGGUAUGCAUACCCUCUUGUAUGUACCAUAUGAAUAAGGAUCGGCUAACUCCGUGCCAGCAGCCGCGGUAAUACGGAGGAUCCGUGCGUUAUCCGGAUUUAUUGGGUUUAAAGGGAGCGUAGGUGGAUUGUUAAGUCAGUUGUGAAAGUUUGCGGCUCAACCGUAAAAUUGCAGUUGAAACUGGCAGUCUUGAGUGCAGUAGAGGUGGGCGGAAUUCGUGGUGUAGCGGUGAAAUGCUUAGAUAUAACGAAGAACUCCGAUUGCGAAGGCAGCUCACUGGACUGCAACUGACACUGAUGCUCGAAAGUGUGGGUAGCAAACAGGAUUAGAUACCCGAGUAGUC